CCUACGGGUGGCAGCAGUGAGGAAUAUUGGUCAAUGGACGAGCGUCUGAACCAGCCAAGUAGCGUGAAGGAUGACUGCCCUAUGGGUUGUAAACUUCUUUUAUAUGGGAAUAAAACGUUCCACGUGUGGGAUUUUGUAUGUACCAUAUGAAUAAGGCUCGGCUAACUCCGUGCCAGCAGCCGCGGUAAUACGGAGGAUCCGAGCGUUAUCCGGAUUUAUUGGGUUUAAAGGGAGCGUAGGUGGAUUGUUAAGUCAGUUGUGAAAGUUUGCGGCUCAACCGUAAAAUUGCAGUUGAAACUGGCAGUCUUGAGUACAGUAGAGGUGAGCGGAAUUCGUGGUGUAGCGGUGAAAUGCUUAGAUAUCACGAAGAACUCCGAUUGCGAAGGCAGUUCACUGGACUGCAACUGACACUGAGGCUCGAAAGUGUGGGUAUCAAACAGGAUUAGAUACCCCUGUAGUC
Molecule: ribosomal RNA, 460 nt
Filed under: uncultured bacterium
Lineage: Bacteria
Description: partial 16S ribosomal RNA
Rfam family: Bacterial small subunit ribosomal RNA
Source: RNAcentral